Molecule: ribosomal RNA, 1056 nt
Filed under: Triticum aestivum (bread wheat)
Lineage: Eukaryota; Viridiplantae; Streptophyta; Magnoliopsida; Poales; Poaceae
Description: partial small subunit ribosomal RNA
Source: RNAcentral
AUGCUCGAGAAGGCCAAGCUGCGCAAGAAGAUGAAGAUGGAGGGGAAAAAGCCGACCAAGGUGCCGUCCAAGGUGCCGGAUCUCCUUCUCCCCGAGCUUGAGCUCUUGGAGAUUGCUGCAGAGGGGACUCCGCCACUGCCCCGCGAGGACGCCAUUCAGCUGGGCAGGGCGUGCGGUGUGCCCGAGCUCGACCUCAACUAGAUGCCCACCGCUUGGAAUGUUCGUGGUCUAGGGAGACACAAAAAAUGCACUGAGAUUAAGGCAGGUUUAGUCGCUACUCAGUGCUCGAUUGUCUGUUGCCAAGAAACCAAGCUUACUGAUGUCGACCGUUUUAAGGCCAUGACUUUCCUUCCCCCCAAUCUUAGGGAUUUCGACCUCAUCCCUUCCACCGGUGCCUCUGGUGGGUUACUAACUGCCUGGGAUAGUAACCUUUGGACUUGCUCCUCCGUGGCAAAAAAUCAGUUCUUUCUCUCUUGCACGUUUGAAUCUAAAUCUGACGACCUUUCCUUCACCUUAACCAACGUGUACGGCCCUUGCGACCCGGCUGGCAAACGCGCGUUCUUGGACUUGCUCAUCAAUCUUUCCCCAACUAUAACUGGUCCCUGGGCGAUUAUUGGAGACUUUAACCUUAUCCUUCGCCCCUCAGAUAAAUCCUCGCAAAACUUCAACUCGGUCGAGGCCAUGCUUUUCUCUGAUGUGAUCCACUCCAUGCAUCUCCAGGAUCUACCCCUCCUGGACCGACGCUAUACUUGGUCAAACCAGCAGGACGCGCCCAUUCUUGUUCGUUUAGAUCGCGCGCUUGUUAAUGUGGCCUGGGCCCUGCAAUUCCCGGACAGCGCGCUCACCUCCUCCACCAGAUCCACGUUCGACCACGUCCCAAUUCAACUCUCUGCGGCCACUCAGAUUCCAAAACCCUCGAUCUUCCGGCUCAAUAACGCUCUGCUAACUAAAACCUCCUUUCGGGAGGAGGUGGUAUCAACCUGGGCUAGUGUUGGAUCUCCUCAUCUUGGAAGAGGUUCGGUUGGGAUGCUUGUUCUGCGUCUCAAGCGAAUUUGA